AUUGAACGCUGGCGGCAUGCCUUACACAUGCAAGUCGAACGGCAGCACGGGUGCUUGCACCUGGUGGCGAGUGGCGAACGGGUGAGUAAUACAUCGGAACGUACCUUAUCGUGGGGGAUAACGCAGCGAAAGCUGUGCUAAUACCGCAUACGCCCUGAGGGGGAAAGCGGGGGAUCGCAAGACCUCGCGCGAUUAGAGCGGCCGAUGCCUGAUUAGCUUGGUGGUGGGGUAAAAGCCCACCAAGGCGACGAUCAGUAGCUGGUCUGAGAGGACGAUCAGCCACACUGGGACUGAGACACGGCCCAGACUCCUACGGGAGGCAGCAGUGGGGAAUUUUGGACAAUGGGGGCAACCCUGAUCCAGCAAUGCCGCGUGAGUGAAGAAGGCCUUCGGGUUGUAAAGCUCCUUUGUCAGGGAAGAAACACCGGCUCUAACACAGUCUGGGAAUGACGGUACCUGAAGAAUAAGCACCGGCUAACUACGUGCCAGCAGCCGCCGUAA
RNAcentral lists this ribosomal RNA (501 nucleotides) under uncultured bacterium. RNAcentral's name for it is "partial 16S ribosomal RNA". It matches the Rfam family "Bacterial small subunit ribosomal RNA", at positions 29 to 523 of the family's 1533-position model. The record is from RNAcentral.